GGCAAUUUCUCUAUCAGAUAUUGCGUCUAAGACAGAUGAGAUAUUUCGAUGCAAAAAGCACACAAUACUUGCAGGCAAUUGCUGGUCAUAUAUAUUUGUAAUAAAAGUACGAACAAAGAUACAUCACAACAUGCAUCAACAAACAAUAUAACAGGCAAACAUUACAAUAAUCUGAGGCCUCAGAUGGGAGCUUCUCUUUGCGUGUUACUUCAUACUCUAAAGGUACGCUCAGAGAACACCCCUGGAUGCCAUUGGAGGGGGUGGCGGCCGUGCCAUGUAACCCUCUGGCUUUGUUGACGCUAGCCAGGGGGUCAAGGAACAGGCCCAUACAUCAAAGGAUUGCAUGGAAGAUGAUUUACAACACACAAAAACAUAGGAACAGGCAGGCAAUAAAAUGCAUCACACGACCCUCGAAGGUUCACACUUUAAAUGACCCACAAGGAGAGUAGAAGGCAGGCAAUAUAUGCAUCACACAAAAUAGUAACAAAACUUAAGUUCAUAGAUAGACCAAAAACGUAACAACAUGUAGAUUUUCCA
Long non-coding RNA from Gadus macrocephalus (Pacific cod), 537 nucleotides. RefSeq lists it as uncharacterized. The transcript has 2 exons. Lineage: Eukaryota; Metazoa; Chordata; Actinopteri; Gadiformes; Gadidae. The record is from RefSeq and is a predicted model, not a curated record.